Molecule: ribosomal RNA, 550 nt
Filed under: Enterococcus faecium
Lineage: Bacteria; Bacillati; Bacillota; Bacilli; Lactobacillales; Enterococcaceae
Description: partial 23S ribosomal RNA
Rfam family: Bacterial large subunit ribosomal RNA
Source: RNAcentral
GACACAGGUAGUCGAGGAGAGAAUCCUAAGGUGAGCGAGAGAACUCUCGUUAAGGAACUCGGCAAAAUGACCCCGUAACUUCGGGAGAAGGGGUGCUGAUCAUACGAUCAGCCGCAGUGAAUAGGCCCAAGCGACUGUUUAUCAAAAACACAGGUCUCUGCAAAAUCGUAAGAUGAAGUAUAGGGGCUGACGCCUGCCCGGUGCUGGAAGGUUAAGAGGAGUGCUUAGCGCAAGCGAAGGUACGAAUUGAAGCCCCAGUAAACGGCGGCCGUAACUAUAACGGUCCUAAGGUAGCGAAAUUCCUUGUCGGGUAAGUUCCGACCCGCACGAAAGGCGUAACGAUUUGGGCACUGUCUCAACGAGAGACUCGGUGAAAUUUUAGUACCUGUGAAGAUGCAGGUUACCCGCGACAGGACGGAAAGACCCCAUGGAGCUUUACUGUAGUUUGAUAUUGAGUGUCUGUACCGCAUGUACAGGAUAGGUAGGAGCCGUAGAAAUCGGAACGCUAGUUUCGAUGGAGGCGCUGGUGGGAUACUACCCCUGCGUUAUG